RNAcentral lists this transfer RNA (94 nucleotides) under Novosphingobium sp. TCA1. RNAcentral describes it as "tRNA-Arg". Lineage: Bacteria; Pseudomonadati; Pseudomonadota; Alphaproteobacteria; Sphingomonadales; Sphingomonadaceae. The record is from RNAcentral.
UCACGCUCUCGGCCAGGGUCACUUGCGAGACCGCCUGCGAAGCGGCCGCGAUCACGCCGUGGUCGGCCACCGGUUCGACGCCGCAGGCCGCGGG